Molecule: transfer RNA, 68 nt
Filed under: Diaphanes nubilus
Lineage: Eukaryota; Metazoa; Arthropoda; Insecta; Coleoptera; Lampyridae
Description: tRNA-Met
Source: RNAcentral
AAAAAGGUAAGCUAAAUAAGCUUUUGGGUUCAUACCCCAAGUAUAAAGAGCCCCCCCUUUCCUUUUUA